RNAcentral lists this long non-coding RNA (714 nucleotides) under Coffea arabica (coffee). RNAcentral's name for it is "long non-coding RNA (CARA_LNC004275)". Lineage: Eukaryota; Viridiplantae; Streptophyta; Magnoliopsida; Gentianales; Rubiaceae. The record is from RNAcentral.
GGGGUAUCCUCUUCCAUACUCCAUUUAAAGCAGGGAAAGAAAAAUUCCCUUGCCUCUUGCUCCUGCUGAUGUUUUCUCCUACCUCGUUACUCCCAACAAGGUAGGUGCCCAAAUAUUAUUAUCCCUACACUAGUGUUCUUGAUGCAGGAAGUCAAGCUGUCCGUGAGAUUCAAGCUUCAAGUGUUGAUCCAGUAAAGGUUCCUGUUGGUCUAGUCAUGCGAGUUCAAGCUAAAAAGUUCAAAGACUCACUUCAAGCAUUGGUUCGAGUUGUUCAAGAACAAGAAGGAACUUAUAAGCAUAUUAAAGGGGUUGAGUUGGAGCAUUAAUAUCAACCAACCAAGACUUUGGUUCAUAAUGAAGAUAUUGAUAAAGGAUCCAUUCCAUAAACCAAAUUUGUGAAGUAAAUCUAGUUACUAAUUUGGUGUCAUUUCUUUCACUUAGUUUCUUACCUAGUUAGUCCUUUGUGUUAAGAAUAAAUUGGGCCAACUUGCAUGUAAAUUGGAGCCCUUCUUGUUGCUUAAAUUCUUAGAGUCGUUUGGACCUUUUAUUAGGAGCAUUAAAAUCAAGUAGUUUAAUGUUAAGUUGGGCCAUAAUUAGUUUCUUAGUUAGUUACAUGGUUUAAGUCUUGGCCCGUUUAGCUUAUAACAUGGCUAUAAAUAGUCAAAUUUUAGAAGCUUAAUGGCACGACUAAAUGAAUUUUUCAGUAAUAGUUUC